GGGUGCUUGUACUGCCUUCCAAAGUGAAGAGGAGAUGAACAUGGCUGUGCAUAGCUGUUGUUCUACGCCAACUUACCUACUCUUGCUGAUACCGUAGUGGCAUAUUGCAAAUUUCGUGGACGAACAACUCUCUAGUCACUAGUGGCUAAUGAGCAACACUAACAGACCAGAAUGCUUCGCUAUCAACUCCUGGCUUUCCAUCGGCAUGGUGUUCAGCUGCAGCGGCAUCUGGUCCGGGGAGUUGAAGUUGCUGGAUGGCUGCACUGACACAGGAUGGGUUUGCGUUGGCAAUGCGAUACGGCAGUCAUUCCACAUCAUGAGCUACAUGUUUAUGUAAUUUAUAUUGUCGCUCGUCCAGCAACGUCAAGGCUCCGCAUGUAAACACAGGAGAACACCAUAAUAAAAAAUACUACUCAUACUCAGGGGAUAAUAUAUUUGGAUUAGCAAUUUCGUGCCAUUUAUGGGUUCCUGUCUAAACCAUGCUGUGAUAUUGAUUUCUAUCUGCUCACAAAGUACCUUGUAUUGUAACAAUGCUCUGCCUAAUCACUACCCUCCGCCAAUUAUUAGAUUCACACAAUAUUCACAACACAAUGCUGUCUAUUUACACUACUUCGAACUGAAAUGCUCACUACUCUUCUCCCGUUUUCAGCUCCCUCUACCUUAUGAAUACUCUACAUUACUGGUUUCGUUUCUACCCUUUCCAUUGCUGCCAGCUCCCAGUCUUUUUCAAUGCACAGCACCACCUUGAAAUUUUUGUGAUUUGAUGUACACAUACUUUGAAGUUGAAAUUCGAACUACAUGA
Molecule: long non-coding RNA, 802 nt
Organism: Sycon ciliatum
Lineage: Eukaryota; Metazoa; Porifera; Calcarea; Leucosolenida; Sycettidae
Exons: 2
Source: RefSeq, a predicted model, not a curated record